RNAcentral lists this ribosomal RNA (2334 nucleotides) under Triticum aestivum (bread wheat). RNAcentral describes it as "partial small subunit ribosomal RNA". The record is from RNAcentral. Lineage: Eukaryota; Viridiplantae; Streptophyta; Magnoliopsida; Poales; Poaceae.
AUGACAUGGUUACAUCCACUGAUUUGCAAGAAAGCCUUCGCAAGAAGAUGGUUAGAAUCUCAUGUCUUGGAUCUGUCACCCAUAGCUCCUCCUAUAGCUAUUUCUGCACAUCCAUUGCAAGUCUUGGUUCUGUCCACCAUAGCUCUUCCUUCAGCUAGUUCACCACAUCAACUGCACAAGGCCAACAAGAGAGCUUCCAUCAAGACAGAACACAAGCAUAUCAUGUUAAUUAUCUUGGAUUAUAAUACUGCCACAAGAAAUCAAAAAAAGAAGAAGGUGAGAUUAGCCUUUGUUGGUGCAAAAGUGAAUCACCUUGGGCGUAGUUUGUGGGAGACACGGCCAUCAGCCGCAGAAGGGAUGGAUGAUGCCACAAUAGAUGCCCCGAGGAGGAGAGAGUCCGCCAAGGAGAAAGGGACGAUGCAUGGCUGGAGGUUGGCUAGAAGAGAGCCGCCUUGGACCUGGGCGACGGAGGAAGGAGGCGUCGGUGCAGCAUCAGGGCCGCGCAGGUCACCGCCGCCCAGACCGUGCACCACCGCCUGCUGGUCCUCCAGAUCGUGCCCGGCCGCGGGGCGGCCAGAUCGGCACGCCGUCGCCACGGGCAAAGAAGACCGGAGACGGCGGGGCAUAGCCGCCCGCCACGCCGGCGCCACACCCAACGGUGCAGCGCCUAGCUCGGGGGCGUUGCACUCCAGUCCACCGUGGCAGCCCUGGGCCCCGGACCCAGCAGUGCGGCGAGAUGCCAACCGCCCGCUCCCCCUCCCCCCACCCCACCCAUUCGUUUCAGGAGUUACAAAACAGCGCCGGCGGCUUCCUCCUCUCCCCCUCUCAAUCCCCUCUCCCAAAUCCUUCAGAUCCGACGAUUUGGUCUGUGCAUUUCUUCACCAAUCCAUCCUAGAAGGAUGGUUUGGCUUCUCGAUGAUCAUUGGGACAAACAACACCGGUCGUACGCUAUGUCGGUGGAGCAGCGGAUGCAUGCCCUUAUCGGUAUGGUUCCUCCGGAGCCUCGGGAACCAGAAGCAGAAGAUAAGAAGAAGGAAAGAGUCGCAGCGGGCGCUACUUUCACGUGGAUAUCAUCGAACUUCAUUGGACGAAGCCUGUUGUAGGCACACUGGAGGUAUUGGUGGUUGUCUGCUCGCACUUUCCAUAUGGAGCUGGGAGCGUUUGCCGGUUGGACGACCGAAGACCGUGAAGUACGAGGAUUGGGACAACAAAGACGACCCACUACGGCUCCCCACUUGGGCUUACAAGUGGGAUGUGUUAAAUGAGACGACAGAUGAUCCCUCGGUAAUGUACAAGUUGUACAAGAGCGAGCUGGACGCGAUCACGCCUGAGCAGGUGGAAUGGGAGCCGUUGGAUAGGAAAAAGCAGCAGAAGAUCAAGGAUUGGGCCAAGCAUCACAGCAAGUAUGUCGUGCAGUUCGCUCUUAGUGUGGAGCAAGCAAGGGCUGGAAAACAAGCCCAGCUUCGUGAGCACUGCCCGAUCGCGUUCAACAACUAUCUCACAUGGUUUCUUGCAAGUACCCGCGUGGAGGUAUGCAAGCCGGCGUAUGCUGAGAAGAUUCUGGAAGAACCCACCGUUUUUUAUGAGGUAGCCCAGCACCAGUACAACGCAUUAGUCAGGAAAGGCAACUCAGUGAUCCCUUCAGCUCCAAUGAUGAACUUUGUGCGCCAGGGCCAAAAGUUAAGGCGGCUAUCAAACCUUUUCGGUUGUCGUGACCCCGAGUAUGUAUCACCAGAACGGUCUAGGUCGGCGACACCAUCAGAUCCCGCUUCGGGGCAGGGCCAUGGUGAACCUUUCGAGGAUGAGGAUGUGGGUGUGGUCACCCAAGAGGUUGCUGAUGAUAUGACCGUGGGGACGUACCAGGCUCGGUCUGCAUACGAGUUGAAGCCUAGGAAGGGAAUCAACAAGUACACACCUGAAGACUUCACCCAAAGAGGCCAAAGAGGCAAAAGGACGGUCGGCACCUCGCAGAUGGCGGCUUUGGAUGACUAUGUAGAUGACGUGGAGGAACCGGAGCCGGAGCGGGUUCCUCUUCCUAGGAAGCUAUUCAGAGAGCAACAGAAGGUAGGCCUCCAGUUUGGGGCAAAAAUUUCGCUAAGUGUUUGUGCAGCGCCUAGCUCGGAGGCGCCACACUAUACAGUGCAACGCCUAGCUGCAAGGCGCUGCACUAUAGAGUGUGGCACCUCCAAGCUAGGCGCUGCACAAGUCUAUAGCUAUCCAGAGAGCAACAAAAGCUACAGACAUGUGCAGCGCCUAGCCGGAAGGUGCCACACUCUACAGUGCAACGCCCAGCCUCUGGGCGCUGCACUGUACAGUGUGGCGCCUCCUGGCUAG